RNAcentral lists this ribosomal RNA (253 nucleotides) under uncultured bacterium. RNAcentral's name for it is "partial 16S ribosomal RNA". It matches the Rfam family "Bacterial small subunit ribosomal RNA", at positions 524 to 776 of the family's 1533-position model. The record is from RNAcentral.
UACGUAGGGGGCUAGCGUUGUCCGGAAUCAUUGGGCGUAAAGAGCGUGUAGGCUGCUCGGUAAGUCCGCUGUAAAAGUCAAAGGCUCAACCUUUGAAUGUCAGUGGAUACUGCCGGGCUAGAGUCCGGAAGAGGCGAGUGGAACUCCUGGUGUAGCGGUGGAAUGCGCAGAUAUCAGGAGGAACACCGGUGGCGAAGGCGGGUCUCUGGGCAACAACUGACGCUGAGGAGCGAAAGCGUGGGGAGCGAACAGG